This is a long non-coding RNA of Acinonyx jubatus (cheetah), 2581 nucleotides long. RefSeq lists it as uncharacterized. NCBI's taxonomy places the organism in Eukaryota, Metazoa, Chordata, Mammalia, Carnivora, Felidae. The record is from RefSeq and is a predicted model, not a curated record. The transcript is spliced from 5 exons.
CAAACAAAAACUGAAGGAAUUUGUCACCACUAAACCAGCCCUACAAAAGAUCCUAAGGGGGAUCCUGUGAGACAAAGUACCAGAGACAUCACUACAAGCAUAAAACAUACAGACAUCACAAAGACUCUAAACCCGUAUCUUUCUAUAAUAACACUGAAUGUAAAUGGAUUAAAUGCGCCAACCAAAAGACAUAGGGUAUCAGAAUGGAUAAAAAAACAAGACCCAUCUAUUUGCUGUCUACAAGAGACUCAUUUUAGACCUGACGACACCUUUAGAUUGAGAGUGAGGGGAUGGAGACCUAUUUAUCAUGCUACUGGAAGCCAAAAGAAAGCUGGAGUAGCCAUACUUCUAUCAGACAAACUAGACUUUAAAUUAAAGGCUGUAACAAGAGAUGAAGAAGGGCAUUAUAUAAUAAUUACAGGGUCUAUCCAUCAGGAAGAGCUAACAAUUAUAAUGUCUAUGUGCCGAAUACCGGAGCCCCCAAAUAUAUAAAACAAUUACUCAUAAACAUAAGCAACCUUAUUGAUAAGAAUGUGGUAAUUGCAGGGGACUUUAACACCCCACUUACAGAAAUGGAUAGAUCAUCUAGACACACGGUCAAUAAAGAAACAAGGGCCCUGAAUGAUACAUUGGAUCAGAUGGACUUGACAGAUAAUAUUUAGAACUCUGCAUCCCAAAGCAACAGAAUAGACUUUCUUCUCGAGUGCACAUGGAACAUUCUCCGUGAUAGAUCAUAUACUGGGUCACAAAACAGCCCUUCAUAAUUAUACAAGAAUUGAAAUUAUACCAUGCAUACUUUCAGACCACAAUGCUAUGAAGCUUGAAAUCAACCACAGGAAAAAGUCUGGAAAACCUCCAAAAGCAUGGAGGUUAAAGAACACCCUACUAACGAAUGACUCAGUGGUAAGAGUCUCCAUGACGUCUUCUAUUCUUUUCUCAAGCCCAAGUGGCUGCACCAGCUUGCAUUCCUGCCAACAAUGCAGAAGAGAUCUUCUUUCUCCUCAUCCUCGCCAACAUCUGUUGUUGCCUGAAUUGUUAAUGUGAGCCAGUCUGACAGUAUCGAGUAACCCCCGUUGGGUAUGAGAAGAGUCUCCGGAGGGCGUGAAGGACAUUGCCAUCCCCAAAUCCAGAGUCAUUUCCAAUGGCAGCCAAAAGAAAGAACCAACAACCUGGACGUUCCGAGCAGGAAGAAAGCCAAGCUCAGUUCCACAAAACAAGUGAGAAGACAAGUGAGAAAACAAGUGAGAAGGCAAUAUCUAUCUCGGGGAGAGAAAAGGUUAUAAAACUAAGAGUAGAAGUCCUAAAAAUGGAGAAUACAGAAGAGAAGGAACUUCCUGGCUCUCGGAGUUACUAUUUUGAAGAGAGUUGCCUAGGAGAGCCACAGAACCAGAUAUAUUCAUAUUAUCAUUUGCAGGGGUGAGGAAUACCAAGCAGUUCUGCUAACCAUGGAGAUGUAGGAGUCACUUUUUAUCAAAGUCUAAGUUAAUUACACUUCUCAAUGCAGAAAGUACUGCCUAAAAAUGAAAAUGAAGUACUGUAAACAAGAAAAUGUGUGGUUUGGUUUAGAGAUUAGGUAAUAGACAUGACAAAACAGAUAAAACUGACUACAAAUAUGGACAUCCAUAAUAAGCAGAGAAACAUUUGCUAAAACUGUUGCCUUUAUGAUCAUUUGCAAAGCAUAUCAUAUGUCCUAAACAGACUGUAGAUCUUAAGGAAUUGAUUUGAGAAGAGAGCAUUCAUUGAAUCUAUUAUUGACAUUCUAUUAAAAACUAUUCAUUUUCAAAAUAAUCGUUCACCUUUUUUUUCUGGCAUAAAUCAAAAUAAAUAAAAACUCCCCAAAAUGGGCAAUUAUCAGAGUGUUAAAAAGUGACAUUUUCUAGGCCAAGAAUCAGCCCACCAAACUGUUUUUUGUAAACACAGCUUUAUUGGAAGACAGCCAUACUAAUUCAUUAUGUAUUGUCUAUGGCUUCUUUGUGCUACAAGGCACCAUUGACUAAUUGUGAGAAGACCAUAUAGCCCAUGAACCCUAAAAUAUUUACAAUAUAGCCUUCACAGAACAGAUGUGGCAAUCACUUUUCUAGACCACCCAAGAGAAGAGAUGAAAUUAAAUACAGUUUUAGCACAAAGGAAUAGUGCAAUUUCUUUAUUGAACAAAGUGAUUAAGGAAAAGAACAAAUGAAGAUGAUGGACUUUUCACAGGUGUUUCAGUAGCCUCAAGAGAGCCAACAUAAAAGGAGAUAUAUAAGAAAAUAAAUUAGAUGGUCAGAUAUGUCUAUAGUUACUUUGGAUAUGGUUAUUGAUAUAUGAAACUAAUUGGGAGAAAUGUAUAAGAAACUUACUAUAUUUGGAGGAAAAUGUCAAAAAUAACAUGAAACAAAGGACCUCUGGAAUGGCUGAAUGAAUGGCUUCAUAAAUCCUUUCCCCCAGCGCAGUAAUAAGCCUGGAAAAGUUCUCAAAUUGGAACUUUUGCAUUCUGGAAAUUCGCAAAGGGAAUCGAAAAAGGCACAUAGCAAAUUGAGAAACACUCAUUUAAGGAAAAGUAUUUAAAAUGAUUAAUAAAAGAAUGUCCAUAAAAGGAUAU